RNAcentral lists this small RNA (117 nucleotides) under Marmota monax (woodchuck). The record is from RNAcentral. Lineage: Eukaryota; Metazoa; Chordata; Mammalia; Rodentia; Sciuridae.
GCCAGGUCUGGUGGAGCUUGUCUGUAGUCCCUCUUACCUUGAAGGCUGAGGCAAGAGGAUCAUUUGAGCCCAGGAGUUUGAGAGUAGCCUAAGCAACAUAGUGAAAAUUUGUCUCAA